ACCUGGCUGGUUCAGCUGGUAGAGUCUGUGACUCUUGAUCUCAAGGUCAUGAGUUCAAGCCCCAUGUUGGGCA
This 73-nucleotide transfer RNA is filed under the name Canis lupus familiaris (dog). It matches the Rfam family "tRNA". From Rfam's summary of the family: Transfer RNA (tRNA) molecules are approximately 80 nucleotides in length. Their secondary structure includes four short double-helical elements and three loops (D, anti-codon, and T loops). Further hydrogen bonds mediate the characteristic L-shaped molecular structure. tRNAs have two regions of fundamental functional importance: the anti-codon, which is responsible for specific mRNA codon recognition, and the 3' end, to which the tRNAs corresponding amino acid is attached (by aminoacyl-tRNA synthetases). tRNAs cope with the degeneracy of the genetic code in two manners: having more than one tRNA (with a specific anti-codon) for a particular amino acid; and 'wobble' base-pairing, i.e. permitting non-standard base-pairing at the 3rd anti-codon position. The record is from Rfam by way of RNAcentral. RNAcentral also lists the same sequence under 1 other name. Lineage: Eukaryota; Metazoa; Chordata; Mammalia; Carnivora; Canidae.